ACCCCCCCUCAAAACAGCAGCCUUGCAGAUUAUCUUCAAGAAAAUUCAAAACCCCUUUUAGACUCACCUUCUGCUAGGGAUUCGCCUCUGCUUUGAGAUGCCGCGCACGAGGGUCAUCGGCGCUUCUGCGCCUCCACCUCUGACGCCGAACCACAGGGUAAGGCCAGGUACGUGCUAGGUGUGGACUCUGACGUGGAGGUGGAGUGGUGCACGAUGGGAAGAGUCGCGUGACGUGCGGUGCCUGGGGACUGCCUCGGUUGCAAAUAAUGGCUCCUAGAGUUUUUUUUUUGCAAUCUGUUUGUGUUUUUGGGCUGUUUGGGCCAUGUUUGUAAAUGGGUACUUAGGUUUAGGUCUGCUUAGCUUCUAGUAGUUUGGGCCGGGCAAAUUUUGGGCCCUACAGCUGCCCUUCUUUGCUCAUUGUCGUAUAAUGAUAACGGAGUAAAGACUUCAAAAGGGAACAAAAUUGCCUGGACUUGUUGAGUCUUGGUGCCCUACACCCAUUAGAGAUUAGAACUCAUAACACAUUUAGAGAAUUUUGUGUUUACGUUUUGAGGGUUCUUUGUUUUUGGGUUUUCAGGGUUUAGUUUUUUUUUAUCUCUAUCUUUUGUACUCUUCGUUAUUUUGUCAUUAUAGUAAAAUUAUCUUUGCCCGUGGUUUUUAUCCUCUUUGGAGGAGUUUUUCCACGUUAAAUUUGUGUGUUCAAUUUCUUAAUUUAUUCUGUUAUUUUUA
This is a long non-coding RNA of Gossypium arboreum, 729 nucleotides long. RefSeq lists it as uncharacterized. The transcript has 2 exons. The record is from RefSeq and is a predicted model, not a curated record. NCBI's taxonomy places the organism in Eukaryota, Viridiplantae, Streptophyta, Magnoliopsida, Malvales, Malvaceae.